UUCAUCUCCUUCUCCUGACUUCUGCCCUUUGUAAUUCGUCCAAACCCAGGAGCAGAGCCUUCCGAAAAAUACAGCUGCCACCAACCCCCGCUCCAAGGGGAUUCCCUGCAAAUUCCAGGAAGGAGACAGACUUCCCAUUCCCAUCAACAUCAAGGAAAACCCAACAGAACCUGGUCAAGUUCUCGGUGAUGUCUCCUGCCUCUGCGGUAGCAGCUGUCCCCAGGCUUCAUGCGAACAGGCUCAGCGUGACCAGCGGGGACAAACCACACGUGGUCCAAAGCUGGGCCCUGACUGCCUGUGGGAGUGUCAAGACACGAAGCUCAUCCUUAGCAUCACUUUAAGAAAAAAAAAUAGACAGAUAGACAACAUUUUUUCAGAUCCGAGCGGGCACGUGGGGCCAGCCAGUUAAAAGGAAAAAGAAAACAGAACAACAAUGAAGAAAGAAGAAUUUGAUCUUGCUAGCAGUCAGUUACAAACACCUGAAUGGAUGAAUAUUGACGCUCCAGCCGUACUGAAUCGGCUUUAGGUGGGUGUUCCAGAAUCCUUUCUGUUACUUCACUCUCCCUCCUUUUUCCCUUCUCUCUCUGCACUGCCCAAGGUCCGGGCUCUGCUCCUGGGGUCCCAAAUGGACAUGGUUGGAUUCAUCAAGCCUCUUUCAAGACCCUGUUUCUACCUUUGUAUUUGUAUAUAGGAUUUCUACUCCCUCAAAAAGCCUCGCCCCGCCAAACUGACUAAGCUCUGGGCCCUACAAAACAUGGAUGCUCUCUGGGGAGCUGAUAGGCAGCCCCGGCCCCAACCUGAGGACCUGCGGGGGCUCCCUGCCGUCUUAAGUUUUUCACAUUCUUCCUGGGGGAGCAUCUACACAGCAGGCCCCCCUCGUGCCGACAACAAUGGCCUCUCCACUUCAUGACUUGAGUUUUUUAUGCUAAAAUGCUCCCUCCCUUCCAGGAGGCAGACCCCCGAGAAAAUAAGUGACUUAAAGGAAAGUGUCUAUCUCUUGGGUUAGGCAUUUUUGCUUUCACUUAUGGAUGAGAAAGAGGAUGCUCAAAGCACUGAAUGAGUCAUUUAUGUAAGAUCACGGAGCUGGUUAGAAACCCAGUCAGAAUUUGAACCCAGGUCCUCAACUCCUAAACUGCUGUUUCUUAUUCUAUUCCAUAUUUCUAAUCCAGCAGAGGCAUUCAUUUGAAGAAAGAAAGAAAUUCGGUUUUUCUGAUCAGAGCUAGUUAAGAAGCACAUGGGUCUUUUUGAGUAACUGAGACCCCAUGUUUCCAGCAUUUUCAGUAAAGACAUAACUUUUGAGGCUGUGUUCUCUCCUUUCAUUUUGUUUACACUAAUGGGUGUUUCCGUAGGAAUGGCAUUCCUACGUUUCAGAUUCUAACGUGCUUACUCCACUUAACGAUGUUUGGCUUAAUUAUUAAGAGCGCUGUGAGGCCUGAGGCCAGAGCAGUCCCAACGUGGCUACAUCCCGUGCGUGUGGAUAUCUGUGCUUGUGGCAGGACGGAGAGGCCAGGGAGGCCUAGAGGCAGGGGGCUGAGAGGCAGGACCUCCUUGUCCCCCGCCUGUGACCUGGUGGGCUUCCAGGUGAGGAUCCAAUGGGAUGUGUAGUGCAGAGGUGACAAGGAAGGGACACUAUUAGUUUGGUAGGGUUGCUGUAACAGAGUACUACAAACAAAUGACUUAAACAACAGAAAUUUACUCUCUCACAGUUCUGGACAUUAGAAUUCUGACGCUGAGGUGUCGGGAUGGCCAAGCUCCCUCUGAAGGCCCUGGGGAAGAAUCGGUCCCAUGCCUCUCUGUUAGCUUCAAGUAGCUCCUUGGAUUGUGACAGCAUAGCUCCAAUCUUCACAUGAUGUUCUCUGGUGUGUGUGUGU
Kogia breviceps (pygmy sperm whale) is the source of this 1871-nucleotide non-coding RNA. The record is from RefSeq and is a predicted model, not a curated record. NCBI's taxonomy places the organism in Eukaryota, Metazoa, Chordata, Mammalia, Artiodactyla, Physeteridae.